GACGAACGCUGGCAGCGUGCUUAACACAUGCAAGUCGAACGGAAAAGCCCUGCUUUUGUGGGGUGCUCGAGUGGCGAACGGGUGAGUAACACGUGAGUAACCUGCCCUUGACUUUGGGAUAACUUCAGGAAACUGGGGCUAAUACCGGAUAGGAGCUCCUGCUGCAUGGUGGGGGUUGGAAAGUUUCGGCGGUUGGGGAUGGACUCGCGGCUUAUCAGCUUGUUGGUGGGGUAGUGGCUUACCAAGGCUUUGACGGGUAGCCGGCCUGAGAGGGUGACCGGCCACAUUGGGACUGAGAUACGGCCCAGACUCCUACGGGAGGCAGCAGUGGGGAAUAUUGCACAAUGGGCGGAAGCCUGAUGCAGCAACGCCGCGUGCGGGAUGACGGCCUUCGGGUUGUAAACCGCUUUCGCCUGUGACGAAGCGUGAGUGACGGUAAUGGGUAAAGAAGCACCGGCUAACUACGUG
Molecule: ribosomal RNA, 468 nt
Filed under: uncultured bacterium
Lineage: Bacteria
Description: partial 16S ribosomal RNA
Rfam family: Bacterial small subunit ribosomal RNA
Source: RNAcentral